This 492-nucleotide ribosomal RNA is filed under the name uncultured bacterium. RNAcentral describes it as "partial 16S ribosomal RNA". It matches the Rfam family "Bacterial small subunit ribosomal RNA", at positions 29 to 507 of the family's 1533-position model. The record is from RNAcentral.
AGUGAACGCUGGCGGUAGGCCUAACACAUGCAAGUCGAACGGCAGCACAGUAAGAGCUUGCUCUUACGGGUGGCGAGUGGCGGACGGGUGAGGAAUACAUCGGAAUCUACUUUUUCGUGGGGGAUAACGUAGGGAAACUUACGCUAAUACCGCAUACGACCUACGGGUGAAAGCAGGGGAUCUUCGGACCUUGCGCGAUUGAAUGAGCCGAUGCCGGAUUAGCUAGUUGGCGGGGUAAAGGCCCACCAAGGCGACGAUCCGUAGCUGGUCUGAGAGGAUGAUCAGCCACACUGGAACUGAGACACGGUCCAGACUCCUACGGGAGGCAGCAGUGGGGAAUAUUGGACAAUGGGCGCAAGCCUGAUCCAGCCAUACCGCGUGGGUGAAGAAGGCCUUCGGGUUGUAAAGCCCCUUUGUUGGGAAAGAAAAGCAGCAGGUUAAUACCCCGCUGUUCUGACGGUACCCAAAGAAUAAGCACCGGCUAACUUCGUG